Molecule: long non-coding RNA, 1013 nt
Organism: Cynoglossus semilaevis (tongue sole)
Lineage: Eukaryota; Metazoa; Chordata; Actinopteri; Pleuronectiformes; Cynoglossidae
Exons: 4
Source: RefSeq, a predicted model, not a curated record
CGUUUGACACACGUGGGUCUCCGUUGAGACUCGUAGUGGACUAGCAUGAAGUGGGCAGCAAACAUGCAUGUUCGCCGCUCCAGGCUGAAGGAACAACGAGGCAUUGACACAACUUGUCUGCUUCCGCUCCACAAAUGUGACGGAGUCCCCUCCCGUGUGUGUUUUCGUGCACUAAAACGCUGCCAAAACGACCUAAUGUUGCUCCAAAAUGUCGAGGGUGAAAGAAAAACAUUCUUCGCCUCCUUCCCUGCGCCCUGGCUCUGCAGGAAGGCAGCGAAAGUCCAGGAAGCGACGCCGUUUGAGACGCGGCCCAGUGACCGAGGUUUGGGGCGUCGACUAAACUCUGCUCAGACCAAUGACAGUCUACGGUGAACAACUUUGUAAACAAGUCUCACACGCCGUGUUUAAAGCCCACUUUUUGUUUGUAACUGCUUCUACACUCACGACAUGCCAACAUGAAGCUGCGGGCCAGUGUGUCGACCGUCUCCAAACAGACCUCCAUCCAGAUGUGAAGUGAAGCUGCACCAUUAAUGAAAACAAGGGGAAUGCAGUGAUGGAAAAAAGGCAGCACCUAAAAAAAGCCCGACGCCAUUUGGUGGCCCUUCAUGACACCUCCUGUGUGUGUCUGUGUCUCUGUGUGUGUGUGUGGGGGGGGGGUCACACUGCCACACACUGGCACACCUGAGAUGACACGAUGGACAUCAUUAAAUGGACCAUUAAGAACUGAAGACAUCUCUACAGGUCUGGAUCCUUCAUGCUGUGGUGAGGCGUCCACACCGGCUGACCACAGGUGUCUGUAAGGCGGGGAUUUACAUUUUCUCAGGACAGGCAGCCCGUGGAGAGAGGCCUGCUGGCAGAUCAAAGGCUGCGGCUGUAAAACGAUCUGAAAGAGUCCAGCAUUAGCAUCCAUCAGGGUACCUUGAAAGCUCCCUGGUCAGCCGAGAGGGAAGCAGAGGGCCCCCCAAAGUGAAAGCCCAGUCUGGAGAGGGGUGAUGGAGGGGCAUGGGGAAGGG